RNAcentral lists this long non-coding RNA (1846 nucleotides) under Homo sapiens (human). Its description in RNAcentral is "HSALNT0347314". Lineage: Eukaryota; Metazoa; Chordata; Mammalia; Primates; Hominidae. The record is from RNAcentral.
AGCAAGUGUAAUUGAAGGGAAAUGCUCUAUCCAGAUACCAAGAGGACUAGUCACGAGACCAGGCCUCAAAACAGGAAAAUGGUUCCAAUGGAGAAGUAGAGUAUGAGUCAAGAAUUGAGAGAUGAGCAAUAUACAUUAGCAUUAUAAAACACUAAAGAAAGUAUACAUGCCUAGAGCCUCUGAGGCACACUACAAAGAAGAUGACCUGAAAAGUGACUGCUUACAGGGUCCACAUAUAGGUGACAUGAAAGUUCCCUCAGCCUUGUCAGUAUGAAUGAGCCUGUAAAGUGAAGAUGAAUGAGAAAGGGAUUAGAUGAGUCAUCUGAGUCUGUAAGGCCCUUGCAACAAGAGCAUGAAGAUGAUAAAAGAGGACAGAAAGGGAACAAGUUGGGUGAAAAGAAAACAAUGAAUUAGGGUGAAAAGAUCAAGCCAGUGACCAAACUCUCUACAACUAGAAAAGACUUAUCAGUUUCUCAUUUAAGAAGCCAAAUAAGAUAUCAUUUACAUCAAAAAUGAAAAAAUAAGGGGGCAUCUACUUUCUAUAAUAACGACCUGGGAAACUCAGACCAUCCUUCCUUCUGAGGACGCUGAAAAAAACUGAAUCCAAGAACUAACAACAUAUUAAGGAACUGCCAGGUGGUGACCCAGCAUGCUAAGAACACAGCAAGGAAUUCGAAGUUGUUUUAACAUUAGAAAAUCAACUGAUGUGAUUCAGCACAUUUACUGAAUAUUAUGAUGACCUGGGCAGAGUCAGAAAAGACAACUGACAAAAUUCAGAUCCUGUUGAGAUAAAUAUUAGCAAACAACCUAGAAAAUCAAGCAUUAUAUUUAAUGGUGAAACAUUAAACAUUUCCUUCUGAGACUUGGAAUGGACAAGGAUGACAUCAUUACUUCUAUUCAACGUUGUACUGAAGGCCCCAGACACUACAGUAAGACAAAAACAGAAUGGAAGAUAAAAGGAUUGGAAAGAAAGAAACCAAACUGUCAUAACUCACAGAUCAGGUAGUGGCUAUAUGCAUACUGGCUUUGUAAUCGUUGCUUAAGCCGUAUUUGUGCUGUGCAUUUUUUAUUAACUCCUAUGCAUCGCCAGGACCCUGAAGGUGUCAUACUCUUCCUGACAGGACCUACCAGCUUGACGGAGAGCUCUAUCCCCAUUUCCUAAAGAAGAAACCUGAUCCUUGGAAAUGUUCAGUGGCUGCCCCAAGGUAAUACAGCUGGUAAAUGAUGUCGGCACAACCUCUUGUGCUCUUGCCUCCUGCCACAAGAACAUAUGUCCCAGAAAAGGGCCACUCCAUCAGCCUAGGUCCAGAAAUGAGAGGACACAUGGACUGAACUUGAAGAUGGCCCACAGCAGACCUGCAGUCAACUCUCAGCCUUUAUGUAAUGCGGGAAAGAAGGAAAUGUGAAUAUUAUAGACUACUAAAAUUCUAAAGUUGUAACAUAGCAAAAUGAUCGAUACAAUUAGCAGUGGCAAUCAGUCUAGCAUAUUGUCAUGCUAUAUGCAUGCUAUAAAACUAUUGAACAAAAAUAUCACUAUCCUAUCAUGGACACAUUGGACUUUUCUUUUCUCCUUAUGACUGCAUCACGUGUGAUGAUCAGAAAUGGAGUGAAGACAGAAAAAUAAGAAAAUUCAAGAAUGUGCUACAGAGUGAUCCUCUCCCUCUUAGAGCACCCACAGAAACCACUCAUGGCUUCUCUGUCUGCAUCCUCUCCACACAAACAUAUUCUUUAAGGUACCAGCCCCAUAUCACAUACCUGUAUGUCAGCCCAUAAUAGGCCUUACCUUAGAAGCCAAAGAUCCAUAACUACACAGUAUUCAUGUUGUAUAAUGUGGAGCAGCACCAAA